RNAcentral lists this ribosomal RNA (467 nucleotides) under uncultured bacterium. RNAcentral describes it as "partial 16S ribosomal RNA". It matches the Rfam family "Bacterial small subunit ribosomal RNA", at positions 28 to 507 of the family's 1533-position model. The record is from RNAcentral.
GACGAACGCUGGCGGCGUGCUUAACACAUGCAAGUCGAACGGAAAGGCUCCAGCUUGCUGGAGUACUCGAGUGGCGAACGGGUGAGUAACACGUGGGUAAUCUGCCCUGCACUCUGGGAUAAGCCUGGGAAACUGGGUCUAAUACUGGAUAUGACCUUUCUCCUUAUGGGGUUUGGUGGAAAGUUUUUCGGUGUAGGAUGAGCCCGCGGCCUAUCAGCUUGUUGGUGGGGUGAUGGCCUACCAAGGCGACGACGGGUAGCCGGCCUGAGAGGGUGAUCGGCCACAUUGGGACUGCGAUAGGGCCCAGACUCCUACGGGAGGCAGCAGUGGGGAAUAUUGCACAAUGGGCGGAAGCCUGAUGCAGCGACGCCGCGUGAGGGAUGACGGCCUUCGGGUUGUAAACCUCUUUCAGCAGGGACGAAGCGUAAGUGACGGUACCUGCAGAAGAAGCACCGGCUAACUAUGUG